UCGGGGGAUCGACCCCCUCGGUGUCGUAGCCAACGCGUUAAGUGUUCCGCCUGGGGAGUACGCACGCAAGUGUGAAACUCAAAGGAAUUGACGGGGGCCCGCACAAGCGGUGGAGUAUGUGGUUUAAUUCGAUGCAACGCGAAGAACCUUACCAGGGUUUGACAUCCUGCGAAUCUCUUGGAAACAGGAGAGUGCCUUCGGGAACGCAGUGACAGGUGGUGCAUGGCUGUCGUCAGCUCGUGUCGUGAGAUGUUGGGUUAAGUCCCGCAACGAGCGCAACCCACGUCUUUAGUUGCCAGCAUUUAGUUGGGCACUCUAGAGAGACUGCCGGUGAUAAACCGGAGGAAGGUGUGGAUGACGUCAAGUCAUCAUGCCCCUUACAUCCUGGGCUACACACGUACUACAAUGCUACGGACAAAGGGCAGCAAGUUCGCGAGGACAAGCAAAUCCCAUAAACCGUGGCUCAGUUCAGAUCGUAGGCUGCAACUCGCCUACGUGAAGGCGGAACCGCUAGUAAUCGCAGGUCAGCAUACUGCGGUGAAUACGUUCCCGGGCCUUGUACACACCGCCCGUCACACCAUGGAAGUUGGCCACGCCCGAAGCCGUUACUCCAACCCUUGUGGAGGAGGACGUCGAAGGUGGGGCUGAUGACUGGGGUGAAGUCGUAACAAGGUAUCCGUACCGGAAGGUGCGGAUGGAUCACCUCCUAA
This 710-nucleotide ribosomal RNA is filed under the name uncultured Synechococcus sp. RNAcentral describes it as "bacterial SSU rRNA". It matches the Rfam family "Bacterial small subunit ribosomal RNA", at positions 823 to 1533 of the family's 1533-position model. Lineage: Bacteria; Bacillati; Cyanobacteriota; Cyanophyceae; Synechococcales; Synechococcaceae. The record is from RNAcentral.